Molecule: ribosomal RNA, 253 nt
Filed under: uncultured bacterium
Lineage: Bacteria
Description: partial 16S ribosomal RNA
Rfam family: Bacterial small subunit ribosomal RNA
Source: RNAcentral
UACGUAGGCAGCGAGCGUUGUUCGGAUUCAUUGGGCGUAAAGGGUGCGUAGGCGGCGCGGUAAGUCGGGUGUGAAAUCUUGGAGCUUAACUCCGAAACUGCAUUCGAUACUGCCGUGCUUGAGGACUGGAGAGGAGACUGGAAUUUACGGUGUAGCGGUGAAAUGCGUAGAUAUCGAGAGGAACACCUGCGGCGAAGGCGGGUUGCUGGGCCGACACUGACGCUGAGGCGCGAAAGCCAGGGGAGCGAACGGG